This 273-nucleotide ribosomal RNA is filed under the name uncultured bacterium. RNAcentral's name for it is "partial 16S ribosomal RNA". It matches the Rfam family "Bacterial small subunit ribosomal RNA", at positions 524 to 796 of the family's 1533-position model. The record is from RNAcentral.
UACGUAAAGUGCGAGCGUUAAUCGGAAUUACUAAGCGUAAAGCGUGCGCAGGCUGUUUAGUAAGUCAGAUGUGAAAUCCCCGAGCUCAACUUGGGAACUGCGUUUGAAACUACCAGACUAGAAUAUGUCAGAGGGGGGUAGAAUUCCACAUGUAGCAGUGAAAUGCGUAGAGAUGUGAAGGAAUACCGAUAGCGAAGGCAGCCCCCUGGGAUAAUAUUGACGCUCAUGCACGAAAGCGUGGGGAGCGAACAGGAUUAGAUACCCCUGUAGUCC